UACGUAGGUGACCAGCGUUGUCCGGAUUUACUGGGCGUAAAGAGCGCGCAGGCGGUCGUUCAAGUCGAGUGUGAAAGCCCCCGGCUCAACUGGGGAGGGUCACUCGAUACUGAUCGACUUGAAGGCAGGAGAGGGAAGUGGAAUUCCCAGUGUAGCGGUGAAAUGCGUAGAUAUUGGGAGGAACACCAGUGGCGAAGGCGCCGCUCUGGGCCGUGACUGACGCUGAGGAGCGAAAGCGUGGGUAGCAAACAGG
This 253-nucleotide ribosomal RNA is filed under the name uncultured bacterium. Its description in RNAcentral is "partial 16S ribosomal RNA". It matches the Rfam family "Bacterial small subunit ribosomal RNA", at positions 524 to 776 of the family's 1533-position model. The record is from RNAcentral.